This 917-nucleotide unclassified non-coding RNA is filed under the name Hevea brasiliensis (rubber tree). Lineage: Eukaryota; Viridiplantae; Streptophyta; Magnoliopsida; Malpighiales; Euphorbiaceae. The record is from RNAcentral.
UUUAUUUUUAUUUAUUUAAAUAUUUAUUUAAAAAUUCAUAAAUAUUAUUUAAAUUGAUAAAAAAUUCAGAACAAUGUCCAAAAAUAUUAUUUUUAUUAUUCCUUUUAUUGUCACUAGAAAUAUUUUUAUUUAUAAAAAAUAUAUAGUUAUUUUGUUGUUAUUUUUAUUUUUCCCUUUUUUUUCAGAAAAUGGUGCUACUCCUCUUAGUAUUUUCAUUGCUUACUAUAGAGCUAGGGUGGAUGAGAUUAUUAGAGAGUUAAUCAUACUUGAAAUGGAUCCCAAGGAUACUCCUGAUGAAAUUGAGCGUCUUGUGCAUCACAUAAUCAUUGUAAACAAGAGGAUGCAAACAAUUAUUUGGGAAUGAAAUUUUUUUGCUUGAUAAUGAUUAAUGAGAAAUAUGGGGCACUAAGGUCGCAUUGCUUGAUCUGAACCUAAUAGGAAUGCUUGAUUCUAUUGGGGUUUCGGGGAAUGGGUUUUGUAGACGUUUGGUCAUGGACUUUAUCAAGGAAUAUGCAAAAUGAGUUGCUAAAAGACUCUGAGUAUUUCACUCAGUCUAUCUAAAUGUGAUAGAAAAAAAAAAAAAUCCUUGACUAAGACAAUACUUUCUAAAGUGGACUGUGAGCUAAAACUUAAACUUCAUGAUGCUAUUAAAGCAUUUAUGCCUGUGACUAGGGUCUAUAUUAGACGUUAGGUAAACUUUUUGUUGUUUCUAUUUCCUUUUGAAUAUUUUGAUGUUGUCAAUGUUAGUUGAAUGUUGUUAUUUUUUUUUCUUAGUUGUGAAUAUUGAACAGUGUUUAUUUUUGUGAUAAUAAAUGUUGUGUUAUUUUAUUUUCGCAUAUAUUUAUUUUUAUAUUAUUGUUCAAUUUUCAUUUUUUCCUUUUAUUUAUUUAAUUAUUUAUUUUCUGUUAAAUAAUUAA